ACUCAAAGAAGUCAGUCUUGGUUGAGCUUCCUAGUCAAGUUGACUUUUAAGGGAGAUAAUCUUUCCAGGAGGAGGUCUGAAGAAAGGCAAGUUACAGGUGAUAAGAAAUGAGUAUGAUGAUGCACUGGUUACUACUGCUGCUUCUUCUGGUCAGCUUUGGCUCACCUGCACCCAGGUUUUCGGACAAAGAUAUCUGCCUCCUGGACAACAAUAAAUUAAGACAAAGGUUAAAACAUCUUCAAGACUUGCUUUACUUAUAUGAAUUGCAGCUGAAGGACAUACUGGGGAACACUUACCACAGAACGAAAAGUGAGCUGUUCUCAGGCAACAGGAGUGUACAGCAUGAGACGCUUUUACCCACAACCAGUGGAAAUUUGAUAGUGUAUGACCAAGAUUGCUCUGCAGUGUAUAACAGGAAGAGCACCACAAGUGGCUACUACCGGAUCAGGCCCCGAGCAGACCGAGAGCCUUUCCUGGCGUUCUGUGACAUGUCUGGUGGCGGGGGCUGGACUGUCAUUCAGCGGCGGAGUAACGGCAAGGAGAAUUUUGACAGAAAAUGGGAUGAUUACAAACUGGGAUUUGGGAAAUUCCAGGGCAAGAAUGAUGAAUACUGGCUGGGCAAUGAUCACAUCCAUGAUCUGCUUGCUAGAGGAGAGAACUCAUUAAAGAUUGACCUGAUGGACUGGCAUGGGGAAAGACGUUAUGCAAUCUAUGAAAAUUUCCAGCUUGCAAAUGAGCAGGACAAUUACAGGUUAUGGUUUGGCACCUAUUCUGGUAAUGCUGGCGACGCUCUGUCUGGUGGGAGCAAUUUUGAAGAUCAGUGGUCAGCCUCUCACAGAGGGAUGCAGUUCACCACAUCUGAUAAGGAUCACGAUCGAUUCCUGGCAGGCAACUGUGCAUCAGAGAACAAGGGUGGCUGGUGGUUUAACAGGUGCCAUGCUGUGAACCUCAAUGGGCGAUACUACAAAGGAGGGAGGUACAGUGGACCCCAUGAUGAUGGCUUGGUUUGGUCUACAUGGCACGGGGUGUGGUACUCACUGAAAUACUCAGCCAUGAAAAUCAGGGCUCCGUUCUUCAUCGACAGCGGGAGUGGAGAUGGUGAGAACAGUCAGGGCAGCUGAAACCUGCUGCUUUGGAAAGGGAAAAAGAAUGGUGUAAGUUGAUAGCCAGGGCUCUGCUGCUGCCUAUUGCCAAACCUGCACUUGAUAGCUGGAGUUGCACCUGCAUCUGCUACCUGAAGCUAACAGAAUGAGUUGUUUGAGCACAGCCAGACAACAAUUUAAUAAAAAACGUAUGGAUCUCAGUCACAGGAUAACCAGAGAUUUCUUUUUCAAGACUUUGUUUGAGAAUGUUUAUUGGAAGUUCUCUGGACUUAGAACUUCUCACGCUUCGAAGGAUCAAGCAUGUCCUUUAAUCACUCUAUACUUUUCAAAAUCUAAACCUUUCUCAUCUUUAUUUUAACCAUCAGUGUUUCAGUCAUGAGAACCUCAGAAAAGAAAGAACAAGGGGAUGUGGAGCUGGACUUCAUCUGGUGUGCCUUGGUUAGUGCUUUUUUCUGCAUCAGGAGAAUGUUUUAAAGCAACUUUCCCUAUGGUUCUAAUAGCCACACUUCAGUUCCAGAGUGCUCCUGGGGUGUGUGAAACCAAAUCUGUGGAUGGACAUGCUCCAACUCCUAAUGUGCAUCCAGACUACGGCUGCUUCAAAGUAAACACCCCCAACGGACAGUGUGGGUUCCAUUCCAACAGCUUCCCACUGCAGAUCCACUGCUAGAGUAUACCACAAGACAUUAAAGCAAAGAUAAUCCUGCCAACCAGAUUUAAGCCCCAGAUUAAAAUUAGGUGCACUUUAUUAAAAUUAAGGUGAGCACAGAUAUUCCUAGGAGUUCCUAAAAUACUGUCAAGAUUCAUUUGUACAUUCUCCUGUAAUUUACCAGAUUUUGCAAUUAGUGAUGGGGAAUCAGAAAGUGAUUAAACUACAAGGCACACUGCUUUCAUUGUCUCACUGGGAUGAAAUGAAAGAGCAACACAAAUGGCUGAAAAACGGAAUACUGAAAAUUUAUUUUCUACAGCUGUUAAUAACAACAGUUACAAAUAAAAACCAGUAUCAGCUUGAUGCAAAUCAUUUAACUACCAUGAGGCAGAAUAAACCUGUUUCCUUAUUUUUCUGAUUUAUAAUAAUUUUAAACUGGUAUUUCUUUUCCAUUCACUUGCUUUUAUAUCCAUAUAU
RNA transcript from Ficedula albicollis (Collared flycatcher), 2226 nucleotides. It is a transcript of the gene named fibrinogen-like protein 1, with no coding region annotated. The record is from RefSeq and is a predicted model, not a curated record. Lineage: Eukaryota; Metazoa; Chordata; Aves; Passeriformes; Muscicapidae. The transcript has 10 exons.